GACGAACGCUGGCGGCGUGCCUAACACAUGCAAGUCGAACGGAAAAUUUCAAUAAGCUUGCUUAAAGAAAUUUUUAGUGGCGGACGGGUGAGUAACGCGUGGGUAACCUACCCAUAAACCCGGGACAACCCUUGGAAACGAGGGCUAAUACCGGAUAAUCUUAAGAGUUGGCAUCAACUUUUAAGAAAAGGUGGCCUCUGUACAUGCUACCGAUUAUGGAUGGACCCGCGUCUGAUUAGCUAGUUGGUGGGGUAAAGGCCUACCAAGGCGACGAUCAGUAGCCGGCCUGAGAGGGUGAACGGCCACACUGGGACUGAGACACGGCCCAGACUCCUACGGGAGUCAGCAGUGGGGAAUCUUCCGCAAUGGACGAAAGUCUGACGGAGCAACGCCGCGUGUAUGAUGAAGGUCUUCGGAUUGUAAAGUACUGUCUUUGGGGAAGAAUGAUUGGUUUGAAAAUAUUGAGCCAAUAUGACGGUACCCAAGGAGGAAGCCCCGGCUAACUACGUGCCAGCAGCCGCGGUAAUACGUAGGGGGCAAGCGUUGUCCGGAAUUAUUGGGCGUAAAGGGCGCGUAGGCGGAUGUUUAAGUCCGGUGUGAAAGAUCAGGGCUCAACCCUGAGAGUGCAUCGGAAACUGGGCGUCUUGAGGACAGGAGAGGAAAGUGGAAUUCCUAGUGUAGCGGUGAAAUGCGUAGAUAUUAGGAGGAACACCAGUGGCGAAGGCGACUUUCUGGACUGUAACUGACGCUGAGGCGCGAAAGCGUGGGGAGCAAACAGGAUUAGAUACCCUGGUAGUCCACGCUGUAAACGAUGAGUGCUAGGUGUAGAGGGUAUCGACCCCUUCUGUGCCGCAGUUAACACAAUAAGCACUCCGCCUGGGAGUACGGCCGCAAGGUUG
This 899-nucleotide ribosomal RNA is filed under the name uncultured bacterium. RNAcentral's name for it is "bacterial SSU rRNA". It matches the Rfam family "Bacterial small subunit ribosomal RNA", at positions 28 to 896 of the family's 1533-position model. The record is from RNAcentral.